UGGGUGAAAUAAACUUAGAAAGCAAAAGAUCCCAAACUAGUUAAUAUAGAGAGUUCAUAUCAUAAAAUGUCGAACCAUAGAUGAGGCUGGAAUUUCUAAAACAACAUAGUCAUAAGGUAGGCACGGCACAGCCUCCAAGCCAUGAACAAAAUAUACGUAACUAGAUCGCUACACAACUAAUAAAAGGAUAAAUCAACAUCAACUGUUAUUCCUAUAGUAAAAUAGUCCUACCAUACACGCUGAUGAUGAUCUCCUAAUUGUAGGUUGAUGGGAACCUUAGGAUGAUUUGUGCUUUAAUUUUCUAUUCCCAGAAGGUGCCCUGGGUGGUGUCCAUGGUGUGGUUUCUGCUCAUGGGGAGGCUUCUCUCCCUUACCUUUGGGUGGUAUUACAUAUUUGUGUGGCUCACUUAAGAGGUGUCUAUGAGGAGGUUUAGGUUCAUGAGGUGCUCCCUUUCCCUUACCCUUGGAUGGUUUGUCACCGGGGAAUGGUUUCAUGGAUGGCUUACCGUCAGGGAAUCCUUCAACAUGUGGAGGUUUACCCCCUGAGUGUCGUGGAGGUUUAUGUGUGUCCUCAACUUCCACAUUCAAUAGGUGUCUAUGAGGAGGUUUGGGUUCAUGAGGUGCUCCCUUUCCCUUACCCUUGGAUGGUUUGUCACCAGGGAAUCCUUCAACAUGCGGAGGUUUACCCCCUGAAUGUCGUGGAGGUUUACCACCUGAUUGUUGUGGAGGUUUAUGUGUGCCCUCAACUUCCACACUCAAUAGGUGUCUGUGAGGAGGUUUGGGUUCAUGAGGUGCCCCUUUUCCCUUACCCUUGGAUGGUUUGUCACCAGGGAAUCCUUCAACAUGUGGAGGUUUACCCCCUGAAUGUCGUGGAGGUUUACCACCUGAGUGCUGUGGAGGUUUAUGUGUGCCCUCAACUUCCACACUCAAUAAGUGUCUAUGAGGAGGUUUGGGUUCAUGAGGUGCUCCCUUUCCCUUACCCUUGGAUGGUUUUUCACCAGGGAAUGGCUUCAUGGGUGCUUUAUCGGUAGGGAACCCCUCAACAUGUGGAGGUUUACCCCCCGAGUGUCUUGGAGGUUUACCACCUGAAUGUCGUGGAGGUUUAUGUGUGCCCUCAACUUCCACACUCAAUAAGUUUCUAUGAGGAGGUUUUUCCCCAUGUGGUGGCUCCUGUCCUUUACCGCCAGGUCCACUGUGUAUUGGCGGUCGGUGUUCAGGGAAUGGCUUGUGUUGUGGUUGCUUCUCACCUGGGAAAGGCUUCCCCUUGGGAAGCUCAUUAUCAUGAUGUUGGUUAGCUAGAGAAGGAGUGAUGAUAAAAACCACCACUCCAACGAGAAACAAAAGCAAGCAGGCUUUAGACAUGUUUGGGAAUAUAUCUCUCGGUUUUGUUGUGCUUCACAAACUAUAACAUUUGCUGCCCUUUUAUAGUGGACGGAAAGCUAGACUAUGACGUCACCACACAUGCAAUUUUGCAUUUGUGCGGUGUUGAGUCGCUCUUUGGGUCCCAUGUGGCGUCGAAAUUUUUGACAAAUUUGCUACUGUGAAAAUCAUGACACCUUAAAGUUUAACUACUGUGAAAAACACGUUGCAAGAAUUUUGCGACAUACAUGGUUCUGCGGAUUUCAAUGUGAAAUAUUGAAUCUACAUUGCUUUUUGACAUUCUAAGGGGAUCACAUGCUAUAUAGUCAGUUUGUGAGAAGCUAAAUACCUUUAACAGGGAUGAGUCCAGAAAUAAUUUUAAGAGGUGAGAAUUAAAUUAUAAAAUUUAUGAGGAAUUAAAAGUCAUGGCAUAUAAAAAAAAACCCAAAGGGGUUAAAUUUUUUUCCACAUUUUUUAAAUUGCGAUUGGUUAAAGCUGUCGAGAGAUAUCGUUGACAAAUUGGUAUGAACAUAUGAAACUGUGGGAAAGUUCAGAGGCGAUUCUAGAGGUCGCAUGGGAACCGACCCUUAAAUGCAAAAUUACUAUUUAGAUCCUUUUAAUUUUUUAAAAUUUUAAAUUAAUAAAGAUAAAAUUAUAUAUAAAUUAUAAAAAAUUAAAAUUUUAUUCGACUUCCCUAAAAAAUUGUUCAUGGAAAAGUUGCAGAAAUUUGUCAUAAAAUAAGUACAGAUUUAAGUCACGAAACAUUAUCAAUAUAGGACAAAAUGGUAUGAACAUUUGAAACUGUGGAAAAGUUGCAGAAAUUUGUCAUAAAAUAAGUACAGAUUUGAGUCACGAAACAUUAUCAAUAUGUAAUUAUAGAUUAUGUUAAAAGAAUUCCCACUAAGUUUAUCUAUAAAAACAAAAUCCAUAGUACUGUAGAUAUGAUAAGCUUCUGAAAAUGAUAGGUGUUCCUUUUCAUCCACUCGAUGGGGUUAUGGGAAAAGGGGAAGAGUACGAAAGAAAGAAAAAUAACAGUUGGAUUUAACACGUGAAAGAUAUUAUAGUAUAUGUUUUUCGGAUAAAUCGAUUCAUUGGUUGGACCAGAUUGAAUAAUUUUUAUUAGUGUCGACCCCAAAUAUGAAUAUAUUAUUUUGAUGAAAUUAGUGGAUCCAUAACGCAAACUUUGAAUUUGGAGUAUUCAUUGUCUAGGCCCACCGGUACUGAGAACACUAUUAAAAUUUGAACUCUCUAACCCAUAACAAGUUGAUUAUGUUUAUUUAUAUAAUACCAGUUGCGGUUUAUUGGACUGCAUUCAAGGGAUUUAAUUCCAGCAAAUUAUUUCAGCUUUCAAAAGCUACUAUUAUAUAUGCGUUUUUUAUUUUAUUUUUAGGCUUAGUUUAUUUCCCUGAACAUAAUUUACGAAAAAUAUUUUUUGAAUUUUUUAUAUUUAUUUUAUAAAAAAUAACUUGGUCAACGGAAAAUAACUUAAAAGUCAAUAAAAAAUAAACUUUUUUUCCUGUAAAAUAAUUUAUCCUUCUAAAAAGCGCAAGUCAUUUUUCGAAAAAAGCUCAUUUAUGAGUAAUUUUAUUUUUUAUAAAAAUUAACUUAAAUCAAACUUAACAUUACUAUAUUAAUAAUAAAAUUUAUUUUUAUUUUUAAAAAAUAUUAUAAUAUUAAUAUAAAAUAUUAUAAUUUUCAAUAUGAUUAAACAUACAUAUUUAAUCAUAUAAUAAAUUAUUAAUAUAAAUAAUAUAAUUUAUUAUUUUAAUAAAUUAUUUAAUAUUUUAAUUUUAUUUUAAUAAUAAAUUUUGAAAAUAAUAAAUUUAAAUAAUAUUCUUCACAUAUUAUUAAAAAUAUUCAAUAUUAAAUAUUUUAAUAAUAUAUGUUUUGUACUAUAGAAGUUAAAAUAUGUCAUAAGUCCAUGUAUUCUUCACAAGUUUGAAAUUUAGUCUCUAUACUUUUGUAACACCUCUCACCCGGUCAGGUUGCCGAACCCAGUAACAGGAUGCCACAAUAACUUUUGGAACUUAUACGCAUGCAUACACGAUUUCAAUUAAGAGCAAUUGAAAAUAAUUUAUUAUAUCUUAGGAAAACUUAUUAAACCAAAUCAAAGUGAUUAACUCUGAAACCUCCAAUUCGCUGAGUCUGUGUCCUAACCACAUGGAUUACCUGUUAAGGGAUAAACUAAGAGGGAGAGCUACAAAACACAGUGUGAGUUUUAACUAAAAGUAAACGACGCAACAACAAACAGUCGAUCAAACUUACAAUUACCAUAAUCAAACCAUAAACAGAGAUCAUAUCAGAUUAGCGUAUCAUAUUAUUAUAUCACUAAACAGAUAUGCAAAAUCGUAUUCAUAUGUAAUAUGGUGCAAAAUCCCUCCUAUCCAACCGCUACACCCCAACUCCAUCAUCCAUCUCACACCAAUAAGGGUAUGCUAGACCCUUUCCAACCUCUGCACACCAAUAUUGGGUUAUGAUGGACCCAUCCAACCAAAUCACACCUUGAGGUGGUCGUAAGCCACUUAAAUGUGAUGCAGUCAAGUUGCUAACACUAUUGCAGUUUUAUCGCCAAAUUAUAACAAUACAGUUUAACUACCAAAUCGAACUUCCUUCUCUUCAAUAUCAACCCCAACCAUAAUGCAUAUGCAAAAAUCUCUCAAUACAUAUACAUAUAUAUAUCAAAUCAGACAUUCUCAUAUCCAAUUACAAAAUAGAAAAAUAAACAAUGUGCACAAUUUUCGAUUAUCACAUCCAUACAUUUUCAUAUAUUAGGUUUUGUAUACAACAUCAUAUCAACAACCUAUGCGAGUAACCAUUUUAAAGUUGUGAAUGCAUAUGUAUGAAAAUGUUCUAACAAUAAUACGCCUUUCAUAUACCUACUACAACCAAUAACAGUGUCUCAAUCACUCCUACAGAGGCUUAAAUACACAAUAGAUCACUCAGGGACUAAAAUGAAUUAAUUUGCAAAAAUAGUGACAAAAUUGCAGAAACAGGACCACACGGUCGUGUGGGAAGGUUCAAACGUGUGGUAGGGGUACACGGCCGUAUGACUGAGAUACACGGCAAUGUAAGUAGGUCGUGUAACUCACUAAACCCAUGUGACAAUUUUCAAAACUAAGGAGCAGGGGAGACACGGCCGUGUGGGAACUCCCUAAGCCGUGUGACAAGAAACUUAACCUAUUUUCAUAAGCGACACAUGAUCGUAUGGACCGUCCAUGUGCAGCACACGCCCGUGUGGUUACAAAAACCACCCCAAAUCUUACUGCAAAUCUCGAACAUUAACCACAAAAUCACCCCUAUUUACGAAUGUUCAAGAAAGACACCUGAAAUCGCAAUUCCCAGCACCAAAGAUUGAUAGAUUCGCCUCUACUCUACCAAUCUGAAAACUCAAUAUCACACACAUACAAAACCUAUAAGGAUUUCGACCUUACAAUUAAAAAAGAAUGAAGAAACUGAUCUACAACUCAAAAGAUAGCACUUACACGAUUAAAACUUUUACAAAUGAAAAUGUGGAAGAACGGGAGAGACUCUAACGAAUCAAUAGUAAUCAGGGCUUAAGCGCAAAGACAAAAUGGCACAAAAACUACUAAAAUUUUAGGGUGUUAAUGGGAAAGAAAAAAAACAAAAUUGAAAAGUAAAAGAAGGACAUAAAAGAAAAUUCAAUAAUAAAGAAGAAAACAAAACUGCCAGCCAAAGAGUGAGAGAGAGGGGAACGUUACUAGGAGGAAUUUUAGGGAUUCUUGUUUUCAAAAAUUAAAAUAAAAUAAAUAAGAUAAAAAUAAAUAAAAUCCUAACCUAUCAAGUUUAUUAGAGUUAAAAACCAAAAAUAACUUCCUCUAAGCACACGCAAGGAUUUGAACAUGAGAUUUAAGGGUAAGCUAACCUUACCAGUGAACCAAUAAACUCAUUGUAUCACUAGAACACGCAAACAAACUUAAAAGUUCAACUACCCCUACAAACUUAUCCUACAAACCUUGACGUUUCUAACCCUAAUUUCGGGACGUGAUGGUAAGUAUCGAUACUAAAUAGCAAGUAUCGAUAUUUAGUAAAUUAGGUAUCGAUACUAAUGUAAAAAUCGUAUCUUGCCAAUUUUGGUUUAAAACAUUUUAUCGAUACCUUGGCAAGAGUAUCAGUAUCUUUAUAACAAGUAUUGAUACUCGUGAGUAGGUAUCAAUACCAAAUUAGGCUUCUGUCAAUUUUUUAAAAUGUCUCAUUUUCAUGGUAUCAAUAUUCAUGCCCCGAUUAUCAGUACUUUUACUUAGAAUGCAAAAAAAAAACACAAAAUAAAGUGCUCUUCAUGCUUAAAACAAUGUUCUUACUCCACACACAAUUAUGAUCUAAUUUAACUGAACUUAUUAACAUCUUUUAAACAUUUAUCAUGCCACAUCCAUACAUUUGCAUCAAAAUUACCUAACAUGCAUUAUCAGCCUUAAUCUCAAACAUCAAAUUGUUCAUAAAUGAAGUCCAAAACAACAUCAACAUCCCAUAAGUGAAAUCUUAAAUUUGUGAUAAAUAAAAUGAUGAUAAUAACUAGAACUAGAACUAUAACUCUAACCCACAACACAUUUAUUCAAAGUGUUCAAAAAAUAUAAAACCACCUACUUGAAAGUUUAUUGCCUUGCUAAGAUCACUUCAUUGGCCACUCCACUCACACUGAAAGUGCUGCUUAUCUGCAAAAAUGUUCUGUGGAGAGUGUGAGCUUAAACAAGCUCAGUGAAUAAUUGAAAUUACCACAAGGCAUACAUAACAUCAUACAUAAAGCAAAAGCAACUAAGCACCAUCACAACCAUAUUUACAACAACGUCAAACUAACAUAUUCAUGAUUCGUUAUGUUAUACGUCUAUCUUAUGUACUCACAUGCACAUACAUACAACAUAUUUCGUAUAUAAAUCAUUUAAUGAUAAUUUGGCAACUUGAGAUUAUGAAACAUAAAAGUGAACUCUAUCGCCACACAUCGGAUAGACCACACCAAUGACUCAAAGAGUCUAACAUAUCACAUAAGUGUAACAUAAAGCUAAACACUCUCCAACACACCACAAAGGUGAGUAGUCACUAGGGGUGUUCAAACGGUUAACCGAACCGAACUAGUAUUGUGACAGCCCAAAAUUGACCCUAGUCGGGAAGUGGUUUCGGGACCGCUAAACCGAGUCAUAAAAAUAAUUAGCUGUCAUAUUUGAUGCUUAUUAUAUGUAUAUAUGCAUGUGUGAAAAUUGCAUAUUUGAAUUUUGUUUAAUUGUAGGUGAAUUUUAGUAAAUAGGACUUAUGUGAGAAAAUUUUGAAAUGUGAUAGGUUAAUUUAUAAGGACCUAUUAAAGCAUGUAGUGAGAAUGAUGGGUUUGCAUGUCAAAUUACCCAAAAUUUGAGCUAGUGGCCGGCCAUGCUAUGAGUGGAAACAUGUUGGGAACAUGUUGGCUUAGUGAGGUAUGUUAGAAAAAAAUAAAAUAGGGAGUAUGGGUAAUAAAGAAAUAAAAACAAAAAAAUGUGUGGUUGUUUCCCCCCCCCCCAUGGCCGUGAGCUAAAGAAAAGAAAAAUAAAGGAUAAUAGAAAAACAAAGAGGAAGGAAGGCUCAUCUUUCAUCUCCUUCAUUGCCGAAAUUGAGAAAGGAAAGAUUGAAAAAAAGAAACCAAGGCAUUCGGCCAUGGCUAGUUCGAGGGAAAGGUAUGCAUUGUGAUUUUAUUCUAAUUGAUGUUGAGAUUAAGUUGAUAAGUGUAUAGUCUAGUUAACCCAUAGCUAAAUUCAUGAAUUCAUUGUUGGGAGAUAAGAAUGGAAGUUGCCGUAUGUAUGAGUAUAUAUGCACUUUGGAAAGGAGAUUUUUGGGUGUUAUUUGAGUUCUCUUUAUGUAUGUAUGUGCAUGAGGAUUCGGUCAUGUUAUAGAUUCAUGUUGAAAAAUGUUAAUGAUAUAUGUGUCAUAUAAAUGUACUUGUGAAUGAACUUGAGAAUAUCUAAAUUAUAGGUUGGAGGUGCCGAAUGUAGUGUUGGAUGAGUUUUAAAGCAUAAAAAUUUAGGUGACUAGAGGUUAAUGACAUUCGGCCAAAGGCUUGUGUGCUAGCAAAAUCGGUAUAAAUGUUGUUCGAUGUGUUGAAUUGAGUAAGUUAGAGGUUGGAACACUUAAGGAUUUGGCAUCUCUAUGACAUUAGAUAUAAAUGUAUGAAAGGCUAAGUUUAAGUAGUAAGGCCGAAUAGGUUAUAGAUAAGGCACUUGUGAGUCUUUGGCCAAGCAAUUGACAAAUUAAAUUAGAGUUCUUGUGACGUAUAAUGUCAAGUCUAACUUGGUAUAUUUGGCCACCUAAUUAAGUACAUCGGUGGUGUUGAAUGUAAUCUUACACAUUCGGCCAUAUGGGGUAAAAAUGGGUCGAGUGUUCAUGAGAUGAAAUUAGGUGUUUAAAUAAUGUUAUAGUUGACAUUGUGCAUAUAUACAUGCAUUCGGCCAUCUAAUUGAGUAUGAAGGUGGUGUUAAAUCUAAUUGUAUGCCCAUUCGUGAUGUUACCUUUAAUUAUGUGUAUAAUCGACUAAAUGGGCAAUUAGUGAGGAUGGUUGCCGAAUAUACAAACAUACAUGUGCAUGUGUAAUUGAAUUAUGAAUGUUUAGCUAGAUGGUUAAACUAGUUGAUUUAUUGAUUAAGCUCAAGGAGUUAAAGGAGGAGAAUCAAGCAAAGGCAAAGAAAAGAUCAUUGAGUAGCCGAGUUGGAACCGUCCUACCCAACACAAAGUAAGUCAUUAAGCAUAUAGUUUGUAUUAAUUUAAAUGAUCAUAAUGUCUAUGUAAUGGUGCUGAAUGGAAUGAUAAAUAUAUAUAUACAUGUAUGUAUGUGGUGAUGAAAGUGUUGGAUGAAGAGAAAAGAGGUGAGAUGUAUUGAGUUGUUGAUCUCGGCACUAAGAGUGCGGGUAUAAACAUUUAUGAUCAUGAGAUUGGCGCUAAGUGUGCGGGUUUAAAUUGUACAGCACUAAGUGUGCGAGUUUGAUUAUGUAGCACUAAGUGUGCGAGCUUGAUUAUGUAGCACUAAGUGUGCGAGCUUGAUUAUGUAGCACUAAGUGUGCGAGUUGAUUAUAUAGCACUAAGUGUGCGGACUUAAUAUAUAUUUUUAAAUCACUAUGGGCACUAAGUGUGCGACAUUAUUGAGUUAAUCACGGACAGCGGAUCGGGUAAGUACCUUGAGUUCAUGGCUAAUAGGCGCUAUGUUUAUAUUUGGAGUUGAGCUUGGUAAGUUUGAACCUAUGUGACAAAUAUACUUGAAGUCACGUACAUAAGAUUUAUCGUGGAAUAGGUGAAAGGCCGUUUAGUUGUAUGAUUGUAACGAAAAUAAAAUGAUGUAUGAAAAUGCCUCAAAUAUCCUAUUGAUUAGUGUAUGGAAUGUGAAUGCAUGAUUUGGUAUGAGAUUGAACCGAUAGGUCUGAGGAACUAUGGCAUGGUUCGGUAUGGAUGGAGUAACUAGCCUCGUUCCAUUUUGUUUCCUCUUGUGAUAAUGUUAUUAAUGGAUGGUAGUGCAUUGCUUAUGACUUACUGAGUUAUAUACUCACUCGGUGUUUCCUUGUCACCUAUUCUAGGUUUCUUGGACUCGUCUCUUUUUGCGUGAUCGGGCCGUCAUCGAAGUCAUCACACCGGCUAGCAACUCUUGGUAUCUUCUUUUUAGUGGGUCUAGGAGAACAUUUCGGCAUGUAUAGGCUAUUAUGUUGUGUUUGAACUUUGGUAUGUAAACUUUUAGCCAUGCGAAAAUGGCAUAAAUGUUCGGUUGGGUUUGGUUUCAUAACGUUAGGUCGUAAAUCUUGAUAAUUCGACCUUUUUAUGCCAUAUGUCAUGGUUGAUUAUUUUGGUGUUAAAAUUCAUGAUAUGGCAAUAGUGUAGUAGGGAGAUGUUUGACAAUGAUUAGCCUUUGGCAUGGCUAGUCACGAUCAUAAUUGGUGAUAUGUAUGAUGAAUUACUAGUUAGAUCAAGGAGAAAUCACGAAAUAGGCAUAGUUGCUUUCGUAACAGAUGCUGGCAGCAGCAGUGACGUGAGAUUGAAAAUCACUAAAAAUAGUAGGAGUGGAAUUAAUUGAUGAAUAAAUUAUGUAACCGAAGCUUGAUGAGUCUAUUUUCAUAUAGAAGUAACGAAACGAUCAUAUGGACAGUAUGUUAAGAGAUAUUCAGGUUCUCGUGAGACAGGGCCAGAACGGUUUCUGGAUUCCCUGUUCCGACUUUGGAAAUUCAUUAUAAAUUAACCAGAGAUAAUUAGGAGUCAUUCCAUAUAUGUACAGAUUCCUCUCUGAGUCUAGUUUCUAUAGAAACAAACGACAUCAGUAUUGAAGCUCUGUGCAGGGAGAUAUCCAAUUCGUAAUGCGCAAGGGUCAGUGUAGUCGAUCCCUGUAACAUGGGAAACUUUUACUAAUAAACUGUACUAAUUGGCCUGACCAAAAAUUCUACGAAAAUUCUACCAUAUAAGUAUAUGAGUCUAGUUCUAGGGAAAAUUUACGGAACUGGAUUUUGAGUUUCAAAACUCAAGAUAUGAUUUUUAAAGCAACUAGUACGCAGAUUAACAGCUUGUCUGGGAAAUGUCAAAUAAGUGGUUUGAAGUCUGUUAACACCUCGUGUUCGACUCCGGCGACGGUCUCGGGUUUGGGGUGUUACAAUUUUAUUGGUAUCAGAGCUAUGGUUUAGUCGGUUCUAGGACUACCAUAGCGCGUAUGAGUCUAGCUAUACAUGCCUUAAUGUUAAUGUUUAAAUGUGUGAUGACUUCUGACGGUUAAAAUGUUUUUGUUUUGAUUAGUAAAUGGACCCCGCUGUAGAAAGAACCUUAGCGGAUGACGUUGAAAGUGUAGCGGCUGCUCCUGCACAAGGGACACCGCCUGUUGAACCUCAUUCAUCUGCGAAUAAUCAAGGUGAGGGGGCUAAACAAGCCUUCUUUACCAUGAUGAAUGAGUGGGUCGCGCAAUAUGCCCGAACCAAUCCGGCUGUCCAACAAUUCCCGAAUUUGAAUAAUCCACCCCAAGAGCCCGUAAUGCCAUCAGUCACUGAUCCUGUGAGACUGAGUAAGCCACCUGUAGACUUGAUUAGGAAGCGCGGGGCUGAGGAGUUCAAGGCCAUAGUUACUGAUGAUGCCGAAAGGGCCGAGUUCUGGCUUGAUAACACCAUUCGAGUGUUCGAUGAACUGUCAUGCACACCCGAUGAAUGUCUAAAGUGUGCUAUAUCUUUGUUGCAAGACUCAGCCUACUAUUGGUGGAGGACCUUGAUUUCCAUAGUCCCAAACGAACGAGUUACUUGGGAUUUCUUCCAAGCGGAAUUUCGAAAGAAAUAUAUUAGUCAACGGUUCAUCGAUCAAAAGCGUAAGGAAUUCUUGGAACUCAAGCAAGGCCGUAUGACAGUGUCUGAAUACGAACAUGAAUUUGUAAGACUCAGUAGGUAUGCCCGGGAGUGUGUAGCUGAUGAGGUUGCUAUGUGCAAAAGAUUCGAAGAAGGAUUGAAUGAAGAUUUAAAGCUAUUAGUGGGUAUUUUGGAGAUAAAAGAAUUCGUGACACUAGUCGAACGAGCCUGCAAGGCGGAAGAACUUGGAAAGGGGAAGAAGAAGGCUGAAUUUGAAGCUAGAGACUAUCGUAAAAGAUCGACGGGUAAAGCUCCGUUCUCAGCUGUAAAGAAGUUCAGGGAGGACACUAAUAAGUCGAGGAUGACUGCGGGAAUUUUCAUCAGAGCACGACCAUCGACGGACUCCCGAGCUACUUCGGUAGCUAGUGUGGGCAAUAAUCGUCUAGAGAAACCUGAAUGUCCCCAAUGUGGAAGACGACACAUAGGUGAAUGUUGGGGUAAGUCUAUUAACAGGGCCUGUUACGGAUGCGGUUCAAAGGACCACUUCAUUAGAGAUUGCACGGAGUUGGAUGAGAAGAAUAAAAUUCAAGGUGCAAGACCUAGUGGAGUGACAACUAGAGGUAGACCACCGAGAAAUUUAGGAGGUAGGGGUGGUAGUCAGAGAGGGGCCUCUGAUACGGCUGUUCGAGCCGAGAACCGUACUCCUGCUAGAGCAUAUGCCAUUCGCGCACGAGAGGAGGCAUCCUCCCCUGACGUCAUCACUGGUACCUUCACUCUCUUUGAUACUAAUAUGAUUGCAUUGAUUGACCCUGGCUCUACUCAUUCAUAUGUAUGCGAAACCUUAGCAUCCAGUAAGACUCUACCUGUUGAGUCUACUGAGUUCGUAAUUCGAGUGUCAAACCCUUUGGGUCAAUGCGUACUUGUUGAUAAAGUGUGUAAGAGAUGCCCUCUAAUAAUCCGAGAAUCCUGUUUUCCGGCCGAUUUGAUGCUUUUGCUGUUUGACGAAUUUGAUGUUAUUCUUGGUUUGGAUUGGUUGACCACGCAUGAUGCGGUUGUGAAUUGCAAAAGCAAGACUAUUGAUUUGAGGUGCACAAAUAACGAGAUAAUCCGAGUUGAGUCUACAGACUUAAGGGGGUUGCCAGCUGUAAUAUCAGCAAUGUUGGCCCAGAAAUAUGUAAGAAAAGGGUGCGAAGCAUACCUUGCGUAUGUACUUGAUGACAAAGAAUUAGAAAAGAAACCCGAAUAUGUGCCGGUGGAUUGUGAAUACCCGGAUGUUUUUCCUGAAGAGUUACCGGGUUUGCCACCUGUUCGGGAGAUAGAGUUUGGUAUUGAGCUUGUACCUGGAACUACGCCAAUUUCGAUAGCUCCGUAUCGUAUGGCACUAACCGAGUUAAAAGAAUUGAAAGCUCAAUUGCAAGAGUUGACGGAUAGAGGUUUCGCUCGACCAAGUUUCUCACCUUGGGGUGCACCAGUAUUGUUCGUGAAAAAGAAGGACGGAACCAUGAGGUUGUGCAUUGACUAUCGUCAACUGAAUAAAGUGACGAUAAAGAAUAAAUAUCCGUUACUGCGUAUUGAUGAUUUGUUUGAUCAAUUAAAGGGAGCAUCAGUGUUUUCAAAGAUAGAUUUGAGAUCGG
RNAcentral lists this long non-coding RNA (12264 nucleotides) under Gossypium barbadense (sea-island cotton). Its description in RNAcentral is "long non-coding RNA (GBAR_LNC020076)". The record is from RNAcentral. Lineage: Eukaryota; Viridiplantae; Streptophyta; Magnoliopsida; Malvales; Malvaceae.